Molecule: ribosomal RNA, 494 nt
Filed under: uncultured bacterium
Lineage: Bacteria
Description: partial 16S ribosomal RNA
Rfam family: Bacterial small subunit ribosomal RNA
Source: RNAcentral
GACGAACGCUGGCGGCGUGCUUAACACAUGCAAGUCGAACGGUGAAGCGCCUUCCUUUUUGGUGGGUGUGGAUGAGUGGCGAACGGGUGAGUAACACGUGAGUAACCUGCCCCCUUCUUCUGGAUAACCGCAUGAAAGUGUGGCUAAUACGGGAUAUUCUGGGUCUGUCGCAUGAUGGGUCUGGGAAAGAUAUUGUUUCGGUGGGGGAUGGGCUCGCGGCCUAUCAGCUUGUUGGUGGGGUGAUGGCCUACCAAGGCGGCGACGGGUAGCCGGCCUGAGAGGGUGGACGGUCACACUGGGACUGAGACACGGCCCAGACUCCUACGGGAGGCAGCAGUGGGGAAUAUGGCACAAUGGGCGCAAGCCUGAUGCAGCGACGCCGCGUGAGGGAUGGAGGCCUUCGGGUUGUGAACCUCUUUCGCCAGUGAAGCAGGCCUGCCUCGUUUGUGGGUGGGUUGACGGUAGCUGGAUAAGAAGCACCGGCUAACUACGUG